AACGGCCUCCCAGGCCGCGGGGCCGAGCGGCCGGCGCCGGGCGACUGCGCCCGCGAGUGGGACCGCGGCCUGGACCCCGGGGACGAGCCCGACGUCUCCCUUCAGGAGCGCUCCUCGCUCUGUCUCUCGGACUUCCUCCCUCCCUCGCCCUCCCCGGCCGCCCUCCUCGCUCCCUCCCUCCCUCCCUCCCCCCCCACCCCGCCCUGCCCCCUCCUCGCUCCGCGCCGCCGCGCUCACUCCUCCCCCUCCCGACCUGGCGGCCGCCUCCCUCUCUUAUCUCGCUCCCCGCUCUCCAGGGUCUCCUCGCUCUUCAUUCCUCUCGCGGCCUCCUCCCCUUUCCCUCACUCACCCUCUUUCCAAUUGAGGGAUCACAGACUCACUCCGGUUCUGCCAGGGGGACGACCCCCACCCCUCGCAAAACUCGACCACCUCUGACUUCAUGAAAUAUUCUUUCUGUUUGCCCCCCGCAGCAAGCCCCGCGUCCCAUCCCAGGACCCAGCCCCGCCCCUCCGCGCCCCCUUCCUCCUCCUGGCCCGCCGGGCCGAGUGGUGCUGCUGCGGGUGCGGCUGCUCGGAGCCUCCCUGGCCGCCCUCCCCAGGGCCGAUACUGACUCCAUCUGUCAACUUCGUUUAGACUUUGCCGCCCUCAGCCACACGCCGGGGUGCCAGACGCCCAAAGGCCGGGUACACGCAGUGGCUGUAAACGGUGAAAAGGAGUGCUGUUUCCUUCAGUCACCAGAGUUAAUCCCAGGAUGCCUUCCAUAUAUGCCCGACAACAUAAUGUAUCACAAGAGCACGUGUCCUUUGAAAAUAUCUGCAGGGUGCUCAUCCAGGCCUUAAAAGUUGGCAGCAUCCCCCAGGAACUACCCUGUGAACAAAUCCAGGCUUUCGGAAGCACGUGAUUCUGCAGAAAUGCCACAUUCUCUUCCACAUGGGCUGUGGGCUCUGAGUCCCCCUUUGCUUCCUCGGCCUAUGUACCUGCUGAAGAAGACAGUUGUGUCGUGUACAUGCAACCUAAGGAGGUAACCUUUUACCCAGCCUGAGACUUCAGAGGGUAUUCAUAUUGGGGACCAGCAGCCCGUGAUGUUUGUCCCCCAGAGAGGGGGAGAGAGCUGCUGCCUGCAGAGUGGCUGCUCCUGCUUUGCACGGCCCCUGGCUUCUGCAUCCCUCCAUCCUCCAGCUGGGCACAGAGGUUGCCAAAAGGGCCAGUAGGAGGAGAAGGCUUCAUGGAGGACGGGGGCAAGAGCGGGCCGACCAUGCUGGCUUCCUCGCCUUGUGUCUGGCUGACUGCACAGGCCUGAGGAGGUAACCAACAGCAGAAACAGCUCUGGACAAAUGAGCAAAGGAAGACUCGACUGAGUUUCCCCAGAAUGGAGAGGAGCUGAGGAAGCUCCAGGGCCCACAGCGGAAGCUGGUGGACCAUUUCACUAGGACCCUGGGAGCAAAUCAGUCUGACUUGUGUUUGGCCCCUGAAUCCCCCUGCUCAAGGCUCAGAGUCCUGGAGAAUUGAGGGCAACCCCCACAUUGCAUGCCAUGGAUGGUGGCUUCCCCAGGGGAGUCGGGGUGCUAGGACUAGAGCAUGCCUCCUACAAAUGUUGACUUCCCCAGAAAAAUACCAGCUCUCUUAAGUAAGGGUGGGUCUAUCUGUGGGGAUGAUAGGGUCACCCUUAUUAUUCAUACGUUCCCUGGGCCUGAGAACUUACCUGGAAUACACUUUGUUAAAUAGUAAUAUUUAUUCUUAUUUGAGUUAUUUUUUUCAGGGCUUUUCUCUAGUUGCUGUAUUUAUCUUCUUUCAGUGUUUCCACAUUUAGCAUUAGUAUUCUCAUGUUAUAUUUGUAUGAACACAUAUACAUUUGUUCCCAUGCCUUGAGGCCCUUGGUGCUAAUUACAUUGAUAUUUUUAUGCUUUAUUUUUCUUUAUUUUUUUAGAGGCAGGAGUUUUUUCUCUGUCACCCAGGCUGGAGUGCAGUGGUACCACCAUAGCUCACUGCAUCUUGAACUCCUAGGCUCAAACGAUCCUCCCACCUCAGCCUCUCAAGUAGCUAGGACUGCAAGCACAAGCCGCCAUGCCUGGCUAAUUUUUUGUUGUUCUUGUUACUUUUUUGUAGAGAAGACAUCUCACUAUGUUGCCCAGGCUGGUCUCGAACUGCUAGUCUCAAAUGAUCUUCCUACCUUGGACUCCCAAAGUGCUGGGAGCACCCAGGCUAUUGCAUUUUUAGGUUAUAUCAACUCUGCUACCCUGAGAAUUGCCUUUAGACUUUGUUCUUAAAUAAACAAAGGACUGAGCUGAUCCUGUCAGCCCAGAGCAGCGGCCUGGGAGCCACCAUGCGACCCAGCCCUAAAUGCCUUGCUUAUGAUGAAAUCUCUUGAAAAUAGCCCAACUUCUGUCUCCUGCCUGUGAAGCUGUGUGUAAGUUGGCAAAUGACAGGAAGAGCAUGUGCUUCUAAUCACCCACCCAUCUUAAUAACGUCGAACAGAUACAGUGCAGAAACUAUUGCACAACCACCAGCAUUUCAUUACAUCAGAAUCCUUGCCAAUUUGAAAGAGGUCCUUGAAUCCAGGGAGAGUUACAUCUUUACGUUUUUGAUCACGAUCCUCUUGGAAGAUACUUAUUAGGGCCAUUUGUUGAUGACAAUAUUAAGAAUUAGCAAAUAUCUUCUUAAAUAUAACAAAAAUUGAAUUGUUUCAUUAGAGAACUAUAAAGUCUGUUAUUUAAGAGGAAACUGUUGUGCUGUUCAAAAGCAGGAAAGAAUUGUUGAAGGACUCUUCCUGGUCUCCUUUCUAGAACUGAGGCAACUCAGCUAUUGUAGUCAAAAGAAUUUUUAAAAAAUUAGUAAAGAGAAAAGCAGAAUCUUCGUACA
RNAcentral lists this long non-coding RNA (2859 nucleotides) under Homo sapiens (human). RNAcentral's name for it is "non-protein coding LINC01394:22". Lineage: Eukaryota; Metazoa; Chordata; Mammalia; Primates; Hominidae. The record is from RNAcentral.